RNAcentral lists this ribosomal RNA (267 nucleotides) under Bacillus thuringiensis. RNAcentral describes it as "partial 16S ribosomal RNA". The record is from RNAcentral. Lineage: Bacteria; Bacillati; Bacillota; Bacilli; Caryophanales; Bacillaceae.
CUACUGCUGCCUCCCGUAGGAGUCUGGGCCGUGUCUCAAGCCAAGUGUGGCCGAUCACCCUCUCAGGUCGGCUACGCAUCGUUGCCUUGGUGAGCCGUUACCUCACCAACUAGCUAAUGCGACGCGGGUCCAUCCAUAAGUGACAGCCGAAGCCGCCUUUCAAUUUCGAACCAUGCAGUUCAAAAUAUUAUCCGGUAUUAGCCCCGGUUUCCCGGAGUUAUCCCAGUCUUAUGGGCAGGUUACCCACGUGUACUCACCCUCCGCCGC